This 253-nucleotide ribosomal RNA is filed under the name uncultured bacterium. Its description in RNAcentral is "partial 16S ribosomal RNA". It matches the Rfam family "Bacterial small subunit ribosomal RNA", at positions 524 to 776 of the family's 1533-position model. The record is from RNAcentral.
UACAGAGGGUGCGAGCGUUAAUCGGAUUUACUGGGCGUAAAGCGUGUGUAGGUGGUUGUGCAAGUCGGUUGUGAAAUCCCUGGGCUCAACCUGGGAACUGCUUCCGAGACUGCUCGACUAGAGUACGGUAGAGGGCGGUGGAAUUUCCGGUGUAGCGGUGAAAUGCGUAGAUAUUGGAAGGAACACCAAUGGCGAAGGCAGCCGCCUGGGCCUGUACUGACACUGAGACACGAAAGCGUGGGGAUCAAACAGG